RNAcentral lists this ribosomal RNA (297 nucleotides) under Triticum aestivum (bread wheat). RNAcentral's name for it is "partial small subunit ribosomal RNA". Lineage: Eukaryota; Viridiplantae; Streptophyta; Magnoliopsida; Poales; Poaceae. The record is from RNAcentral.
AUGCACUGGUUUGUAUGGUGGAAGUUGUGUGUUCCCAAGGAACAAGGUGGCAUGUGAUUUAAAGACUUGGAGUUUUUUAACCUUGCAAUGUGUUUGAAGGAAUGUUGAAGGCUACUAUCUGAACCUGAAUCUUUAUGGGCAGAAGUAUUGAGAGAUAAGUAUUUUCCAUCAGGUUGUCCCUUCAACAGCGAAUUAGAGAAGGAAGACUCCUAUACAUGGAAAAGUUUGUGGGUUGGGAUAAAACUUUCAAGAUAUGACAUAUGUGGAAUGUUGGAGAUGGUGAAAAUGAACAUAUGA